CCGGUGUGGGCAAGUCUUUUCGAUUCCUAUUAAGGGAAAAUCUUUUGUUCUUCCUCUCAUUUUUGUUAUUCUUUGAUUUUUUUAUUGAUUUCAGGCGAUAGUUUAUCUUUCCUAAGAAGGUAAUCACAACUAUUGUAAUAUUGAUUAACCUUACAGAUCCUCUUCUCCUUCUCUACAAUUCCACAAAUCGCGGGGUUGUAAUGUUGAUUCACCUU
Molecule: long non-coding RNA, 215 nt
Filed under: Solanum tuberosum (potato)
Lineage: Eukaryota; Viridiplantae; Streptophyta; Magnoliopsida; Solanales; Solanaceae
Description: long non-coding RNA (STUB_LNC004201)
Source: RNAcentral